Molecule: ribosomal RNA, 761 nt
Filed under: uncultured microorganism
Description: bacterial SSU rRNA
Rfam family: Bacterial small subunit ribosomal RNA
Source: RNAcentral
GCAAGUCGAACGGUGAAGCCUUUCAGGGUGGAUCAGUGGCGAACGGGUGAGUAACACGUGAGCAAUCUGCCCUUGACUCUGGGAUAACUUCGGGAAACCGGAGCUAAUACCGGAUAUGACGCAUGGCCGCAUGGUCUGUGUGUGGAAAGAUUUAUUGGUCAGGGAUGAGCUCGCGGCCUAUCAGCUUGUUGGUGGGGUAAUGGCCUACCAAGGCGACGACGGGUAGCCGGCCUGAGAGGGCGAUCGGCCACACUGGGACUGAGACACGGCCCAGACUCCUACGGGAGGCAGCAGUGGGGAAUAUUGCGCAAUGGGCGAAAGCCUGACGCAGCGACGCCGCGUGAGGGAUGAAGGCCUUCGGGUCGUAAACCUCUUUCAACAGGGAAGAAGCGAAAGUGACGGUACCUGCAGAAGAAGCACCGGCUAACUACGUGCCAGCAGCCGCGGUAAUACGUAGGGUGCAAGCGUUGUCCGGAAUUAUUGGGCGUAAAGAGCUCGUAGGCGGUUUGUCGCGUCUGCUGUGAAAACUCAGGGCUUAACCCUGAGCUUGCAGUGGGUACGGGCAGACUAGAGUGCGGUAGGGGAGACUGGAAUUCCUGGUGUAGCGGUGAAAUGCGCAGAUAUCAGGAGGAACACCGGUGGCGAAGGCGGGUCUCUGGGCCGUAACUGACGCUGAGGAGCGAAAGCAUGGGGAGCGAACAGGAUUAGAUACCCUGGUAGUCCAUGCCGUAAACGUUGGGCGCUAGGUGUGGGGCUCAUUC